AUAUGUGAUCAUGAGCUUGUGGGUGAUGUCCUCAGUCUAUCCUGAGUCAUUCAGAGAAGGUUCAGCUGGAAGAAACUCAUGGUCUAUGUGUACUACAUAGAAUCAAAUCCUCUUCUUCCCCUGAACACAGAGAGUGAUUGUGGUGAGUGAAAAGUGAGUCCACGUGGACUGGAGGAGUUGGGCAGGUUUUACAGAGUGGGGGUUGUGUAAGACAGACAAGGAUGAGAAGACAGCUCAGGGCAUCAUGUAUGGAAUGAACUGGAAAAAGAUUGGAGACAGAGAAACUGCUGCAUUACAGGGUAGCAGGGAUGCAAAGGGAGAGCCCACUUGAAAAUGAUUCUUUAUGGAGAUUGGAUGUGGAGAGAGGAAGGGGAAGGGGUAGUGAGAGAAGAGGAGGAAGAUUUGGGUUUCUAGAUUUGUAUGAUGGUGAUUCCCUUAACCUGAGACAAGUAAUGUAGGUUUGGGAGAAACUUGGUGACUUUGACUUUGAUCAGGACUAGAGCCCUGACUCUGACUUUGAACUGGAGCCCUUUGAACUCUAGCCCUGAAAAGGGUCAGGGCUAGAGAUGAAGGUUGAGAAGUCAUUAGAUAGGGGAGUGUGUAUUCAAACCAGGAGUCCAGAAUGAGCUUGUCCAGAAAAGAGUAUAGACUAGGAAGAGAGAAGGGGUACAGCA
Long non-coding RNA from Homo sapiens (human), 674 nucleotides. Ensembl annotates it as ZNRF3 intronic transcript 1. Its record names the gene ZNRF3-IT1. The record is from Ensembl. NCBI's taxonomy places the organism in Eukaryota, Metazoa, Chordata, Mammalia, Primates, Hominidae.